UCGCCCGCCGCGCCCCGCGCCCGUCCCGCCGCCCCCGCCCGCUCCUACGGGAGGCAGCAGUGGGGAAUCUUCCACAAUGGGGGAAAGCCUGAUGGAGCAACGCCGCGUGGGUGAAGAAGGUCUUCGGAUCGUAAAACCCUGUUGUUAGAGAAGAAAGUGCGUGAGAGUAACUGUUCACGUUUCGACGGUAUCUAACCAGAAAGCCACGGCUAACUACGUGCCAGCAGCCGCGGUAAUACAAUCCAUAUGACUAG
Molecule: ribosomal RNA, 254 nt
Filed under: uncultured organism
Description: partial 16S ribosomal RNA
Rfam family: Bacterial small subunit ribosomal RNA
Source: RNAcentral